UGCCGCGUGCAGGAAGAAGGCGUUAUGCGUUGUAAACUGCUUUUAUACAGGAAGAAACGACCCUUGCGAGGGGCAUUGACGGUACUGUAUGAAUAAGCACCGGCUAACUCCGUGCCAGCAGCCGCGGUAAUACGGAGGGUGCAAGCGUUGUCCGGAUUUAUUGGGUUUAAAGGGUGCGCAGGUGGUUUAUUAAGUCAGUGGUGAAAGACGGUCGCUCAACGAUUGCAGUGCCAUUGAUACUGGUAGACUUGAGUAAAGUAGAGGUGGGCGGAAUUGAUAGUGUAGCGGUGAAAUGCAUAGAUAUUAUCAAGAACUCCAAUUGCGUAGGCAGCUCACUUGGCUUUUACUGACACUCAUGCACGAAAGUGUGGGUAUCAAACAGGAUUAGAUACCCUGGUAGUCCACACUGUAAACGAUGAUAACUAGGUGUCGGCUUUUCGGAGUCGGUGCCACAGCGAAAG
Molecule: ribosomal RNA, 461 nt
Filed under: Aquirufa sp.
Lineage: Bacteria; Pseudomonadati; Bacteroidota; Cytophagia; Cytophagales; Flectobacillaceae
Description: bacterial SSU rRNA
Rfam family: Bacterial small subunit ribosomal RNA
Source: RNAcentral